This is a long non-coding RNA of Brassica napus (rape), 1006 nucleotides long. RefSeq lists it as uncharacterized. The transcript is spliced from 4 exons. The record is from RefSeq and is a predicted model, not a curated record. NCBI's taxonomy places the organism in Eukaryota, Viridiplantae, Streptophyta, Magnoliopsida, Brassicales, Brassicaceae.
CUUUCACUUUACUUUUUGAUUCAGUUGAUUUAAAAGUAGCUCUACUUAUUGAAACAAAAAAAAACACAAAUUCAAAGAUUCAACCAUCAGAGACCAAGCAAAAGCUAAAGAAAACUCAACUUCUUCCUCCUGUUACUUCACCGCCGCUGUUGAUCACCAUGUAAUCAAUAUAUACACAACCAAUCACGUCCUAUUCUCGAACCGUUCCUUUGCUCACGCUUCGCUUCAUCACUACAACGAAUCCUUCUCUCACGACCUUCGAUUGUAAACCGGAUUCGGCCAAGGGUUAUAGCCGGUGCUGAUCUCUUAGUCUUCAGUAAGUGUGAAAACUGAAAAGUUGCCAAUGAGUAUACGAGCAGCUCAAGGCUUAUCAGAAUGAUGGGAACUACACAAAAGAGAGAGUACCCAGAUUGAAGCUUUUAUUUAGGGCAGAGAGAAAGACGAAGAAUACUUUGAUGCUGAUGGGAACUUUGUAGAAUACUUUAGAGACAAGGAAGUCAAGGAUGCAUGUCCUGAGAGUAUUGACAUUAAUCCAAUGUACAUGGGAAGCUGUGCUGCAAAUGAUACUAAGAAGCAUGAAGAUAGUGGGACCGUAAAGCCAUCGGAUGAACUUUCUCAAGAUAAUAUCAGACUCAUAAAGAUGUGUAUUUCUAAACUCUUUGACCCUGUAGAAAAGGUCCUUCUAGCUUUUAGGAGAUUGAAAGGGAACUGGAAUGGGAUAAGAUGAUAUUUGAGACAAAGCUUAUCAUUAGUUUUGCUAAAUCCAGUAUGGUGACUUCAGUUACGUCUCAUAUUGAUUUUGCUAUAACAAAAGCUUUGCUAAAAUGAAAACUGUGUCCUGUUAACAUUAGUUUUUCCUUAUGUAUUCAAGAUGUUUAUCACAAGGAGGAGCAAGAUUUUUUCCAGCUUGAAGCUGGUUAGAGCUAUUAAUGCUUUUCUAAAUCUCAUGAUAUUUCAAAAAAAAAUAAUUAAAAGAAAAUAGUUUUAAUGAUGGAACAUGUGUCAU